This 549-nucleotide ribosomal RNA is filed under the name uncultured bacterium. RNAcentral's name for it is "bacterial SSU rRNA". It matches the Rfam family "Bacterial small subunit ribosomal RNA", at positions 355 to 897 of the family's 1533-position model. The record is from RNAcentral.
UAGGGAAUCUUCGGAUGGACGGAAGUCUGACCGAGCAACGCCGCGUGAGUGAAGAAGGUUUUCGGAUCGUAAAGCUCUGUUGUAAGAGAAGAACGAGUGUGAGAGUGGAAAGUUCACACUGUGACGGUAUCUUACCAGAAAGGGACGGCUAACUACGUGCCAGCAGCCGCGGUAAUACGUAGGUCCCGAGCGUUGUCCGGAUUUAUUGGGCGUAAAGCGAGCGCAGGCGGUUAGAUAAGUCUGAAGUUAAAGGCUGUGGCUUAACCAUAGUAGGCUUUGGAAACUGUUUAACUUGAGUGCAAAGGGGAGAGUGGAAUUCCAUGUGUAGCGGUGAAAUGCGUAGAUAUAUGGAGGAACACCGGUGGCGAAAGCGGCUCUCUGGCUUGUAACUGACGCUGAGGCUCGAAAGCGUGGGGAGCAAACAGGAUUAGAUACCCUGGUAGUCCACGCUGUAAACGAUGAGUGCUAGGUGUUAGACCCUUUCCGGGGUUUAGUGCCGUAGCUAACGCAUUAAGCACUCCGCCUGGGGGAGUACGACCGCAAGGUUGA